RNAcentral lists this ribosomal RNA (1024 nucleotides) under uncultured bacterium. RNAcentral's name for it is "bacterial SSU rRNA". It matches the Rfam family "Bacterial small subunit ribosomal RNA", at positions 9 to 1074 of the family's 1533-position model. The record is from RNAcentral.
GAGUUUGAUCAUGGCUCAGGAUGAACGCUGGCGGCGUGCUUAACACAUGCAAGUCGAACGAACCUUCGGGUUAGUGGCGGACGGGUGAGUAACGCGUGAGAAUCUGCCCUCAGGAGGGGGAUAACAGCUGGAAACGGCUGCUAAUACCCCAUAUGCCGCGAGGUGAAAUGAAUUUCGCCUGAGGAUGAGCUCGCGUCUGAUUAGCUAGUUGGUGUGGGUAAUGGCUCACCAAGGCAUCGAUCAGUAGCUGGUCUGAGAGGAUGAUCAGCCACACUGGGACUGAGACACGGCCCAGACUCCUACGGGAGGCAGCAGUGGGGAAUUUUCCGCAAUGGGCGAAAGCCUGACGGAGCAACGCCGCGUGAGGGAUGAAGGCCUCUGGGCUGUAAACCUCUUUUAUCAAGGAAGAAGAUCUGACGGUACUUGAUGAAUAAGCCACGGCUAAUUCCGUGCCAGCAGCCGCGGUAAUACGGGAGUGGCAAGCGUUAUCCGGAAUUAUUGGGCGUAAAGCGUCCGCAGGCGGCCCUUCAAGUCUGCUGUUAAAAAGUGGAGCUUAACUCCAUCAUGGCAGUGGAAACUGAGGGGCUUGAGUGUGGUAGGGGCAGAGGGAAUUCCCGGUGUAGCGGUGAAAUGCGUAGAUAUCGGGAAGAACACCAGUGGCGAAGGCGCUCUGCUGGGCCAUCACUGACGCUCAUGGACGAAAGCCAGGGGAGCGAAAGGGAUUAGAUACCCCUGUAGUCCUGGCCCGUAAACGAUGAACACUAGUGUCGGGGGAAUCGACCCCCUCGGUGUCGUAGCCAACGCGUUAAGUGUUCCGCCUGGGGAGUACGCACGCAAGUGUGAAACUCAAAGGAAUUUGACGGGGGCCCGCACAAGCGGUGGAGUAUGUGGGUUUAAUUCGAUGCAACGCGAAGAACCUUACCAGGGUUUGACAUCCUGCGAAUCUCUGGGAUCGAGAGAGUGCCUUCGGGAGCGCAGUGACAGNNGGUGCAUGGCCUGUCGUCAGCUCGUGUCNUUGAGAAUG